RNAcentral lists this ribosomal RNA (433 nucleotides) under uncultured bacterium. RNAcentral describes it as "partial 16S ribosomal RNA". It matches the Rfam family "Bacterial small subunit ribosomal RNA", at positions 29 to 507 of the family's 1533-position model. The record is from RNAcentral.
AACGAACGCUGGCGGCAGGCCUAACACAUGCAAGUCGAGCGGACCUUUCGGGGUCAGCGGCGGACGGGUGAGUAACGCGUGGGAAUAUGCCCUUCUCUACGGAAUAGUCCUGGGAAACUGGUGGUAAUACCGUAUACGCCCUGCGGGGGAAAGAUUUAUCGGGGAAGGAUCAGCCCUCGUCGGGUUGGGUAGUUGGUGGGGUAAUGGCCUACCAAGCCGACUGUCCAUAGCGGGUUUGAGAGCAUGAUCUCCCACACUUGGACUGAGACACGGCCCACACUCCUCCGGGACGCUGCAGUGGGGAAUCUUAGACUAUGGGGGCAACCCUGCUCUAGCCAUGCCGCGUGAGUGAUGAAGGCCUUAGGGUUGUACCGCUCUUUCAGCUGGGAAGAUAAUGACGGUACCGGCAGAAGAAGCCCCGGCUAACUCCGUG